Rana temporaria (common frog) is the source of this 380-nucleotide long non-coding RNA. RefSeq lists it as uncharacterized. Lineage: Eukaryota; Metazoa; Chordata; Amphibia; Anura; Ranidae. The record is from RefSeq and is a predicted model, not a curated record. The transcript has 3 exons.
GGUAUAUGAGGCUCUGUGGUUGGGUAGGUGUGGAAUAUGAGGCUCUGUGGUUGGGUAGGUGUGGUAUAUGAGGCUCUGUGGUUGGGUAGGUGUGGUAGGUGAGGCUCUAUGGAUGGGUAGGUGUGGUAUCUGAAGCUCUAUGGAUGGGUAGGUGAGGCUCUGUGGUUGGGUAGGUGUGUUAUAUGAGGCUCUGUGGUUGGGUAGGUGUGGAAUAUGAGGCUCUGUGGUUGGGUAGGUGUGGUAUAUGAGGCUCUGUGGUUGGGUAGGUGUGGUAGGUGAGGCUCUAUGGAUGGGUAGGUGUGGUAUCUGAAGCUCUAUGGAUGGGUAGGUGAGGCUCUGUGGUUGGGUAGGUGUGUUAUAUGAGGCUCUGUGGUUGGGUA